UGCAAGUCGACGCUGAAGCCUGGUGCUUGCACCGGGUGGAUGAGUGGCGAACGGGUGAGUAACACGUGAGUAACCUGCCCCUGACUUCGGGAUAAGCCCGGGAAACUGGGUCUAAUACCGGAUACGACUGCCGGACGCAUGUCUGGUGGUGGAAAGUUUUUUCGGUUGGGGAUGGGCUCGCGGCCUAUCAGUUUGUUGGUGAGGUAAUGGCUCACCAAGACGACGACGGGUAGCCGGCCUGAGAGGGCGACCGGCCACACUGGGACUGAGACACGGCCCAGACUCCUACGGGAGGCAGCAGUGGGGAAUAUUGCACAAUGGGGGAAACCCUGAUGCAGCGACGCAGCGUGCGGGAUGACGGCCUUCGGGUUGUAAACCGCUUUCAGCAGGGAAGAAGCGCAAGUGACGGUACCUGCAGAAGAAGUACCGGCUAACUACGUGCCAGCAGCCGCGGUAAUACGUAGGGUACGAGCGUUGUCCGGAAUUAUUGGGCGUAAAGAGCUCGUAGGUGGUUGGUCACGUCUGCUGUGGAAACGCAACGCUUAACGUUGCGCGUGCAGUGGGUACGGGCUGACUAGAGUGCAGUAGGGGAGUCUGGAAUUCCUGGUGUAGCGGUGAAAUGCGCAGAUAUCAGGAGGAACACCGGUGGCGAAGGCGGGACUCUGGGCUGUAACUGACACUGAGGAGCGAAAGCAUGGGGAGCGAACAGGAUUAGAUACCCUGGUAGUCCAUGCCGUAAACGUUGGGCACUAGGUGUGGGGGGCAUUCCACGUUCUCCGCGCCGUAGCUAACGCAUUAAGUGCCCCGCCUGGGGAGUACGGUCGCAAGGCUAAAACUCAAAGGAAUUGACGGGGGCCCGCACAAGCGGCGGAGCAUGCGGAUUAAUUCGAUGCAACGCGAAGAACCUUACCAAGGCUUGACAUACACCGGACCGUCCUGGAAACAGGUCUUCUUCUUUGAAGCUGGUGUACAGGUGGUGCAUGGUUGUCGUCAGCUCGUGUCGUGAGAUGUUGGGUUAAGUCCCGCAACGAGCGCAACCCUCGUUCUAUGUUGCCAGCAUGUGAUGGUGGGAACUCAUAGGAGACUGCCGGGGUCAACUCGGAGGAAGGUGGGGAUGACGUCAAAUCAUCAUGCCCUUUAUGUCUUGGGCUUCACGCAUGCUACAAUGGCUGGUACAGAGAGAGGCGAACCCGUGAGGGCAAGCGAAUCCCUUAAAGCCAGUCUCAGUUCGGAUCGUAGUCUGCAAUUCGACUACGUGAAGUCGGAGUCGCUAGUAAUCGCAGAUCAG
Molecule: ribosomal RNA, 1288 nt
Filed under: Brevibacterium sp. LC297
Lineage: Bacteria; Bacillati; Actinomycetota; Actinomycetes; Micrococcales; Brevibacteriaceae
Description: bacterial SSU rRNA
Rfam family: Bacterial small subunit ribosomal RNA
Source: RNAcentral